This 429-nucleotide ribosomal RNA is filed under the name Chloroflexota bacterium. RNAcentral's name for it is "Chloroflexi bacterium partial 16S ribosomal RNA". It matches the Rfam family "Bacterial small subunit ribosomal RNA", at positions 355 to 776 of the family's 1533-position model. The record is from RNAcentral. Lineage: Bacteria; Bacillati; Chloroflexota.
UGGGGAAUAUUGCACAAUGGACGCAAGCCUGAUGCAGCCAUGCCGCGUGUGUGAAGAAGGCCUUCGGGUUGUAAAGCACUUUCAGCGGGGAGGAAGGCGAUAAGGUUAAUAACCUUGUCGAUUGACGUUACCCGCAGAAGAAGCACCGGCUAACUCCGUGCCAGCAGCCGCGGUAAUACGGAGGGUGCAAGCGUUAAUCGGAAUUACUGGGCGUAAAGCGCACGCAGGCGGUCUGUCAAGUCGGAUGUGAAAUCCCCGGGCUCAACCUGGGAACUGCAUUCGAAACUGGCAGGCUAGAGUCUUGUAGAGGGGGGUAGAAUUCCAGGUGUAGCGGUGAAAUGCGUAGAGAUCUGGAGGAAUACCGGUGGCGAAGGCGGCCCCCUGGACAAAGACUGACGCUCAGGUGCGAAAGCGUGGGGAGCAAACAGG